AUGUGUGUCCAGAUCUAAGCCCUGCCGUCUACUAGCUUGGUGAUCUUGGGGUCUCACUCUGUUGCCUACAUUGGAGUGCAGUGGCACAAUCAGGGCUUACUGCAACCUUGACUCAAGCGAUCCUCCCACCUCAGCCCACUCAAAUAGCUGGGACUACAGGCCUGCACCACCAGCUGGGCUAAUAGACAAGGCUUCACCAUGUUGCCCAGGCUGGUCUCAAACUCCUGGACUCAAAUAAUCCACCCACCUCAGCCUCCCAAAGUGUCAGAAUUACAGGCAUGAGCCACUGCACCCGGCUGAUAACUUUUCUUUUUCAUAGCUAUUUCGUUCUCUAUUUUGUGGAUGCACCAUAAUUGAUUUAACAAGUCCCCUGUUGAUGGAUAUUUGUUAUUGUUUUUCUCUCUUUUUUUCUUUUCAAUUUGUAUGGGUUCAUAGUAGGUUUAUAUAUUUAUGGGUUAUGUGAGAUAUUUUGAUACAGGCAUACAAAGCCAAAUAAUCACUUCAGGAUAAAUGGAGUGUUCAUCACCUCAAGCGUUUCUUUGUGUUAGAAAUAUUCCAAUUAUACUCUUUUAGUUAUUUUUAAAUGUACAAUAAAUUUUUGUUGACUGUAGUCACCCUGUUGUGCUAUCAAAUACUAGAUUUUAUUCAUUCUAACUAUAUUUUAGUAACCAUUAACCAUCCUCAUUUUCCUCCCCACCCCCACUACCCUUCCUAGCCACCAAUAACCAUUAUUCUUUUCUUUAUCUUCAUCAGUUCAAUUGUUUUAAUUUUUAGCUCCCACAAAUGAGUGAGAACAUGUGAAAUUUAUCCUUCCAUGCCUGGCUUAUUCCAUUUAACAUAAUAUCCUCCAGUUCCAUCCAUGUUGUUGCAAAUGAUAAGAUCUCAUUUUUUAUGGCUGAAUAGUACUUCAUUGUGUGUGCACCACAUUUUUUUUUAAUUUUACUUUAAGUUUCAGAAUACAUGUGCAGAACAUGCAGGUUUGUUACAUAGGUAUACAUGUGCCAUGGUGGUUUGCUGUACCUAUCAACCCGUCAUCUAGGUUUUAAGCCCCACAUGCAAUAGGUAUUUGUCCUAAUACUCUCCUUCCCCUUGCCCUCCACCCCGCAACAGGCCCUGGUAUGUGUUGUUUCCCUCUCUGUGUCCAUGUGUUCUCAUUGUUCAAUUUCCACU
RNAcentral lists this long non-coding RNA (1170 nucleotides) under Homo sapiens (human). RNAcentral's name for it is "HSALNT0127384". The record is from RNAcentral. Lineage: Eukaryota; Metazoa; Chordata; Mammalia; Primates; Hominidae.